This is a long non-coding RNA of Apus apus (common swift), 794 nucleotides long. RefSeq lists it as uncharacterized. Lineage: Eukaryota; Metazoa; Chordata; Aves; Apodiformes; Apodidae. The record is from RefSeq and is a predicted model, not a curated record. The transcript is spliced from 4 exons.
AUUCCUCAACUGUUAAAUAAUAGUUUUAACAGGCACAACUGGCUUCUGAUUUCCUGAGAUACAACAGGAGAGGUCAGUUGCACUUUAUCACUGCCUUUACCCAUGAAUUUUACUCUUAACUUUGGUCCUUUGGAUUUUAUUUUUGCUUGCAGACUUCUCUCUGCAAUUCCAAAGGGACUCCUGCUUCCAAAAUCCUUUCAAGUACCAGAGUAGAUGCGACCUUCAGUGCUGAGAGUGCUGUCUUCUCCUGAGAUGACACUGUACAAUAUUCUAAGAAGUCUUACGAUGAAGUGACUUCUCAUAUAGUGGUGGCCUGUGAUCAUAGAUGCUUUGUCCCAUCACCUUGGCUGGACUGCACCAUCCAUGGGGACACUGCCUGGAAUGCAGCACUCCAGGAGCAUUGAGGAAGAACUUGAAACAUCUAAAACCGCAGCUGGAUCUGGGAACUGGUGGGCAAGGAACAGAGCUGGCCACGCUGCUGCCCAGAGCCAUGGUCAUGUUGUGAGGAGCUGGCCACGACCCCCAAGCAGACCUUCUGCCACCAAAGCCAAAGAGAUCCAAGUUACAUCCCUGUUCACCAGCCCGGGGAAGGAGCUUCAGGCCCACCAGCUGAGUCUGAAUCUGUCCACCACCAGCAUCUGACCUGGAGUAGCUGCUUCUGUGGCUCAUCCCUUCCCUUGGCGCUGGUGCCCUCUGCUGCCACUCUCAGCCAGGUGAGAGCAAAGACAGGAUCAGGAAUGGUAAGAGAAACUGUCAAAAUCAGUUGAGGAGUAAGUUACUGACCCUCAAAAAUC